UACGGAAGGCAGCAGUGGGGAAUAUUGCACAAUGGGCGCAAGCCUGAUGCAGCCAUGCCGCGUGUAUGAAGAAGGCCUUCGGGUUGUAAAGUACUUUCAGUCGUGAGGAAGGUGUUAAGGUUAAUAACCUUAGCAAUUGACGUUAGCGAUAGAAGAAGCACCGGCUAACUCCGUGCCAGCAGCCGCGGUAAUACGGAGGGUGCGAGCGUUAAUCGGAAUUACUGGGCGUAAAGGGCACGCAGGCGGUUAAUUAAGUUGGAUGUGAAUCCCCGGGCUUAACCUGGGAAUGGCAUUCAAGACUGGUUAGCUAGAGUCUUGUAGAGGGGGUAGAAUUCCAUGUGUAGCGGUGAAAUGCGUAGAGAUGUGGAGGAAUACCGGGUGGCGAAGGCGGCCCCUGGGACAAAGACUGACGCUCAUGUGCGAAAGCGUGGGGAGCAAACAGGGAUUAGAUACC
RNAcentral lists this ribosomal RNA (454 nucleotides) under uncultured bacterium. RNAcentral's name for it is "bacterial SSU rRNA". It matches the Rfam family "Bacterial small subunit ribosomal RNA", at positions 340 to 786 of the family's 1533-position model. The record is from RNAcentral.